AGAUCUUAACUAUUUUAAUUAUUUAAUUAUAUAUUUUACAUUCUUUUCUCACACUUCUUAACUACUUCAUUUGUUUUACGUGUUAACUAUAAUAAUUAUAAAUGUUUGGAUAAAUAAAUUUUGUAUAUGUUUACAUAAUCAAUUAGGUAUUGGUAUUCAUGUAUAUGUUCUGUUAAGGAUCAGUUCUUUUGGGUAUCGAGUUUUUUUGGGUUUUGAAAUUAUAUUCCGCUCGGAUAUUAUAAAUUUUUGGGUGGAGUUAAAGUCGGGUUUUCUAGGUCCGAGUGGAUUUGGUUCUGAUGUGUAAAAAUCUAAAACUAAACAAAACAAAACUUAUGUAUUUAAAAGUGCUAUUAAACCAUUUAUAAAAAAUAAAAUUAAAAA
RNAcentral lists this long non-coding RNA (381 nucleotides) under Brassica napus (rape). Its description in RNAcentral is "long non-coding RNA (BNAP_LNC010804)". The record is from RNAcentral. Lineage: Eukaryota; Viridiplantae; Streptophyta; Magnoliopsida; Brassicales; Brassicaceae.